This 522-nucleotide ribosomal RNA is filed under the name uncultured Flexibacteraceae bacterium. RNAcentral's name for it is "bacterial SSU rRNA". It matches the Rfam family "Bacterial small subunit ribosomal RNA", at positions 8 to 526 of the family's 1533-position model. Lineage: Bacteria; Pseudomonadati; Bacteroidota; Cytophagia; Cytophagales; Cytophagaceae. The record is from RNAcentral.
AGAGUUUGAUCCUGGCUCAGGAUGAACGCUAGCGGCAGGCCUAAUACAUGCAAGUCGGGCGGCAAGGGAAGUAGCAAUACAACCCCUAGAGCGGCGGACGGGUGCGUAACGCGUAUGCAACCUGCCCCUUACCGGGGGAUAGCCCGGGGAAACCCGGAUUAAUACCCCAUAGCAUAACACUGUGGCAUCACGGAGUUAUUAAAGAUUUAUCGGUAGGGGAUGGGCAUGCGUAGGAUUAGUUAGUUGGCGGGGUAACGGCCCACCAAGACUUUGAUCCUUAGGGGUUCUGAGAGGAAGGUCCCCCACACUGGCACUGAGAUACGGGCCAGACUCCUACGGGAGGCAGCAGUAGGGAAUAUUGGGCAAUGGGCGGGAGCCUGACCCAGCCAUGCCGCGUGCAGGAAGAAGGCGUUAUGCGUUGUAAACUGCUUUUAUACGGGAAGAAAAGGCCCAUGCGUGGGACAUUGCCGGUACCGUAUGAAUAAGCACCGGCUAACUCCGUGCCAGCCGCCGCGGUAAUAC